Lycium ferocissimum is the source of this 258-nucleotide long non-coding RNA. RefSeq lists it as uncharacterized. Lineage: Eukaryota; Viridiplantae; Streptophyta; Magnoliopsida; Solanales; Solanaceae. The record is from RefSeq and is a predicted model, not a curated record. The transcript is spliced from 2 exons.
CUCAGGCUUGUGCUCAUCAACUAAGAAGAUCAAUUAAGCUGGAAUGCACAAUGGGAGACCAUUCAAAUUAAAGCAAAAAUCAAAAAUUCCGUUUCAUCUGUGGUUGGAUUAAAAAAGGAGAUAAACUAACAGUUGAAGAGCUUCAAGAAACUUGUCAUGCUCUUGCUCAGUCCAACUCUCUCUAGACUUUGUAAUUGUAUAUGGCUUCCUUGUCUUCUUGUUAUGAUCAUCGGGUACCACUAAACCCGUAUUCCCAUG